CCUACGGGUGGCAGCAGUGAGGAAUAUUGGUCAAUGGACGAGAGUCUGAACCAGCCAAGUAGCGUGAAGGAUGACUGCCCUAUGGGUUGUAAACUUCUUUUAUAUGGGAAUAAAAUGUUCCACGUGUGGGAUUUUGUAUGUACCAUAUGAAUAAGGAUCGGCUAACUCCGUGCCAGCAGCCGCGGUAAUACGGAGGAUCCGAGCGUUAUCCGGAUUUAUUGGGUUGAAAGGGAGCGUAGGUGGAUUGUUAAGUCAGUUGUGAAAGUUUGCGGCUCAACCGUAAAAUUGCAGUUGAAACUGGCAGUCUGGAGUACGGUAGAGGUGAGCGGAAUUCGUGGUGUAGCGGUGAAAUGCUUAGAUAUCACGAAGAACUCCGAUUGCGAAGGCGAUUCACUGGACUGCAACUGACACUGAGGCUCGAAAGUGUGGAUAUCAAACAGGAUUAGAUACCCCUGUAGUC
RNAcentral lists this ribosomal RNA (460 nucleotides) under uncultured bacterium. RNAcentral's name for it is "partial 16S ribosomal RNA". It matches the Rfam family "Bacterial small subunit ribosomal RNA", at positions 338 to 795 of the family's 1533-position model. The record is from RNAcentral.